AACCAGACAAAAACUCUAUUGGGGGUGUGAGGAGUGAAUUAAAAAGCAAAAUACUGGAGAAAUGGAAAAGCUAGGUAGAAAGUACUCGCAAAAUAUAAUAAGUAUCCAGCUUCCGUGUGUGCACACACAAUGAAUUCAAAAUAUCUGAGGGCAUUUACUUGUUUACUUUUGUAGCUCCACCACAAAGUCUGUCCCUGAGGACAGAAUAUAGUUCAGUUGGUAUACUGUAUCUUUGUAACUUGAACAUCAACAGUCUUCAAAAUGUAGGUGGAGAUCUAGACAAAUGGUAAGGGGAAAGGGAAAUUUUUAAGUGGAAAUCAUGAUUCAAGCAGCAAUUUAGGAAGACUGAGGAAAAA
Molecule: long non-coding RNA, 356 nt
Filed under: Bos taurus (domestic cattle)
Lineage: Eukaryota; Metazoa; Chordata; Mammalia; Artiodactyla; Bovidae
Description: long non-coding RNA NONBTAT025448
Source: RNAcentral